RNAcentral lists this ribosomal RNA (482 nucleotides) under uncultured bacterium. Its description in RNAcentral is "bacterial SSU rRNA". It matches the Rfam family "Bacterial small subunit ribosomal RNA", at positions 30 to 507 of the family's 1533-position model. The record is from RNAcentral.
UGAACGCUAGCGGCAGGCCUAAUACAUGCAAGUCGAGCGGCAAGUCGAGGAGUAAUCUAAGAACUAGAGCGGCGCACGGGUGCGUAACGCGUAUGCAACCUACCUUAUACUGGGGGAUAGCCCGGAGAAAUCUGGAUUAAUACCCCAUGGCACAUAUUGAUGGCAUCUGAGAUAUGUUAAAGAUUUAUUGGUAUAAGAUGGGCAUGCGUCCUAUUAGCUAGAUGGUAAGGUAACGGCUUACCAUGGCAACGAUAGGUAGGGGUCCUGAGAGGGAGAUCCCCCACACUGGUACUGAGACACGGACCAGACUCCUACGGGAGGCAGCAGUGAGGAAUAUUGGACAAUGGGCGCAAGCCUGAUCCAGCCAUGCCGCGUGCAGGAAGAAGCAUCUAUGGUGUGUAAACUGCUUUUGUACGGGAAGAAACACUCCUUCGUGAAGGAGCUUGACGGUACCGUAAGAAUAAGGAUCGGCUAACUCCGUG